RNAcentral lists this unclassified non-coding RNA (211 nucleotides) under plant metagenome. RNAcentral describes it as "partial contains small subunit ribosomal RNA, internal transcribed spacer 1, and 5.8S ribosomal RNA". The record is from RNAcentral.
UUUCCGUAGGUGAACCUGCGGAAGGAUCAUUCAUAAUAAAGUGUUUUAUGGCACUUUUUAAAAAUCCAUAUCCACCUUUUGUGCAAUGUUAGAUCUCGUCAAUCUUGGCGAGAUUUUUAUACAUCAACUCAUUCCUUAACUAAUUUGUCUGAAAAAUAUUAUGAAUACUUAAUUCAAAAUACAACUUUCAACAACGGAUCUCUUGGCUCUC